This is an RNA transcript of Physcomitrium patens, 3074 nucleotides long. RefSeq lists it as uncharacterized. The record is from RefSeq and is a predicted model, not a curated record. NCBI's taxonomy places the organism in Eukaryota, Viridiplantae, Streptophyta, Bryopsida, Funariales, Funariaceae.
AGAAACUGCGACGUCUGUGCCGGCCCGAGUAGGAGGAGGAGGUUGGAAGCAUUAUCCCCCAAUUCAUUCCUCUUAUGCUGCUACUUUCAUGGAUAAUACCGCAAUUGCAUCGCCAUUCCGCGAUUGAUUGAUGCUGUCCCCAGCUCAGAUAUAGCAAUUUUGUUCCUUGAGUAUGUUGCCGUGUUUUACCUCUGUUUCGUCAUAUCCUUAUUGUGGUGUCAAUGCGUGCUGAGCCUUGCGUUUGCUUUAGCAGAGUGUGAGUUUCGGAUGUGAGCGUGGUGAACGUCGCAGCGUUUUGAGUAGACGCGGAGUUUGUUUCCGAGGAAGUGUAAUUUUAGGCCUUACGUGCCUUUUUAGGCCUAUUAGUGAGGUGGGUUUGUGGGUUUUUGGGAUCUCGGGUCCUAGGAUGAGGUUGUGGUAGUUGAGAUAGCUCUGGACCUAUUCGUAAUUUUCUUCCCUUAACCAAGGAUAGUGGCGUUAAGGUGGGAUCAGGAUAUGUACCUUUUCUGAAUGAAGACGUAAUUCUUGAAUUUGGAGAGGAAGAUUGUAGCUUGAUGUACCCGCUUUUGUGAAGGCUUGGGAAGCCGUGCUCUCGUGACGACAUAAUUCCAUAGUUCGAUUCCAUAGUUGUAUUGUUGCACGGCACUCUGCCUUAUUGAAUUGGAGCCACUGAGGAGGUGAAUUCACAGCGUUGAGCCAUGGGAUCAUAAUUAUCGCAAUGUAUCAGCAUUCCAUGGCGUUUGCGGCUGCAACGUCACCUGGUGUUGCGGGGCCAAUAAGGUGCAAUAGUGAAACCUCUCAAAGUAACAGGAAAGAGAUCAAAUCUUUCCUAAUUCAAUGUUCUAUUUCUCAAAUCCAGCUGAAGCACCGCAGAAGUGUUACUCCAUACUUGCAAUGUUGCCCCCUCUUUGCUGGACGUAUGCAUAGCAACAUUGCACAGCGCAGGGGGAAAUAUGGAAGAUUUGUGGUUGCAUCCUAUGCUAAGGACAUUCUCUUUAGUAAGCGAUCGUCAUCAGCACCUCAAGUUGGGAUUGCUGAGCUGACUGGUAUUUUGGGAAUCCCAACAUGCCCACAAGGACCCUCACGAUUCACAAAUUUAGAGUCACUGAGGUGGGCCGCUGCAAUUCUCAGAUCUGAGGUAUCAGAGAGAGGAUCAAGUGUGAGGACAUACGCCGGACGUAACAAGAAGUGGCGCAAUCUAGACAAAAAAGGACGUUUAGAAGGAAACAGCCGAACUAGAGGCAAUGGCAAUGCCAACCCUGGAAAGUCCAAAUCAACGCAGAGUGGUGACACUGACGACGGAACCGAGAAUGCUUCUAGGGUUAAACCCAAGAAAGGUCCAAAGCCCAAAGAGCGAGUUUCUUGGGCUGGUCAGGACAUGCUGUUGCUCAACACUAACGAGAGGUUCAAAGUUGGGAAAGAGGUCACACCUUGGGCGUCAGUUCCAGGUGAAAGGAUGCCGGAUGACUAUUACAAGUACGGGCCUUUCGGUCCUCAUGCUUGGAAGGGAGUUUGCGUUGGAACUCCUAAGCAAGGUACACUUUGCGACCAGCUCGUUGUUUUCUUCUCUAGCGUAAGAGACGAAGAAGAGCAUGAACUGGGAGACAUUCAAGAUGCCAUGGUAGGGUAUGGGAAACGGGUUGAUCAAAUGGACGCCAGCGUUGGGAUACAGUAUUACUUCGUAUUUGUGCGUCAGGUUCAAAAGCUGAAGGAUUUGCCACCAUGGGAGGAAUGGACAUUGGUUGCGCAAGUCGCUAUUGAAUCUGGAGAAGUUCUGGAUAAAUGGACACUGGGAUUUGGUCUUCACCCUAAACUUCGAAAAAACCUCACAGAAUGUGUGGCAUGGUAUCGUCCCGAUCUUAUCUAUGUCAAAAGGCCUGCGUACCAAGUAAGAUUUGAGCCGCAGAAUGAGUUUUUGGAAGGGCUGCUUACAUUACUGAAUCCAGAUGGUGAGGACUUCUAUUUUCAGAGGCUUUGCAAGUUGCUUGGAGUGGAUGUUAGCGAGACGGCAGAUCAAGCGAGUGUCGCAUUUGAUGGCUUGAGUGAGAACAGGAAACUUGAGUGCGUAGAACAUGUGCUUACCGCCAAUUCAGUUACGCUCCUGGGCCCUUACACUAUCCAAGCUAUGAAGCAAGAUCAGCAGCGAGGGGCAGUGGGUUUCGACGAGAGCAUUGGCCGCGAGGAGGGGGAAAGUAAUGAAACUGACGAAGCUGAAGGAGAUUGGAGCGAGGAUGCAGACGAGGAUGAGGACGAGGAAGAUGACGAGGAAGAAUUUGAAUCUGAAAUGGAAGCAUUUAAUGGCCAGUUCGGAGAAGAUUUCGACUUCGAUGAACAAGGUGAUAGUCAAUCGGAUGGGAAUGAGUGGGAAAAAGAAGAGGCUAAGUCAUUAGCUGCUAUGCAAAGAUCUUCUGAUGCAGAGACUGUCGAUGUGGACGAUGAGGGUUGGGAUGAACAAGCUGUUAAGGCCUACUCUGAGAUUGGCAUUACGACCCAGAAAGGACAUCGAAUAGCCGAGGAAACGGCAACACAAAAGGAUGAUGAGACCUUUCUUGAUGCAGCUGUUCGACCUUUCAAUUUCUCGAAUCUGAUCCAGGAGAUAUUUAUCAUCCGGGAAGCGUUACUUGAGUAUCCAGAAUUACGGCACUGAACCCAAGGAGAACUUGAACAGCUGCGACUUGCUGCAAGCUAUACCUGCCUGCAUUGUCCAAGCCCACGAGUGCAUCCAUACUCCCAUUUUGAAGAAAAACACUGAUCGAUGAGCGAGUCCAAUCGAAUGAAUUUUCAAGACAUGUGGCUCAGCAGUGAGUCCACCGAAGGAUUUAUAAAGAAAUAGUGGAUUGCAUACUCAGUAUCAGUAAUGCAUCCAGAUGGCAUUUCUUUUAUCAUGAACGCUUCACCAUGGCGGUACAUUAGUUCCUGACCUGAAAGAAGUUACACUCACCGAAUGCACUAAACACAGAAUGUUCUGUCUGUCUAAUAUCGACCAGAUGAAGGUGGUUGUCUCUGCGCAAUCCAUCUUCGUGUCAGUUUCAAACGUUUUUUACAUAACUAAACGAGUAAUUUUCAAUGACUAA